UGGGAGAGCACAUGCUCCUGGGCCAGGCCUGGGGCCACUGGUCCCUGAGCAAGUCUGCCAGCCUUCUGAGCAGAGCUGUCCCUGGCUUGGGGGCCUCUCCAGUCUGGCUGUUCCCCCAUGGGGGAGACUUGCCCCUCCAUAGAGAAGCUCUAUAACGUCCUGCCGCGCACUGUGCAGGGUCUGUUGGCAGAUGCGGUGCUCAUCUUCAGCUCCCUCCAAGCAGUGUGUAUUAUACAGUCAAGGUCAUGAUCUCAAAGUGUCAAAUGUCCUGGAAAGAGGUUCAGAAGACGUCUCUGAAAAGAGAGGAUCAGAAGACUUGUUUCUGCUCCUAGCUAGUCACCCAGAGAAUGCUCUUCAGUCUGGACAGGGAAAAAUAACCCUACUGAGUUCAUGCUUGGUGAGAAGAUGCCUGAGAAGAACUGCAGCCUUCAAAAAGAGUUGUACCAGCAGGUAUGAUGGGCAGAAUUGAUUUCCUACUUCUGCUCAUACAGGGCACGACGGAGAGCUCAAACGUGGAUUUCCAUUUUGGGUCUCCUAUUUCAAAGGGUGUAUGAGGCAGGGCAGAGAGAUCCCCCGGGAAAGCAGUUGGUCUUUGAAUAUGGACCACUGGACCCAAGAAAGCUGCUGGAUCAUUUAUCAGACAGGUUUUGAAACCAAGAAAGAGGACAUCAUCUGUCUGAGAAGUUAUCAUCUCACUGCCCAUUCUUCCCUACCCCAUCCCUGCCCAACAUGAACACAUUUCAAUCUAAACCUGGAAAUAGUAUGACAAGGUCUAGUGACUUCAAAGUAAAGGCGAACUAAGUUCUCUCUUCCAUUGACAAGCUACAUGUAAAGUUUGUUUCAUGCCUCAGUAAGAUUACUAAAUUCCACUUAGCUUCUUCCAAUGAGGUCUUUCCACACGUGCCAAUUACCUCCCAAUUAAUACAAUCAAGUAACCACCUUAUAAACAACUUUUAAUUUUGAAUGUCAGGUUAACAUUUUUCCUCAUUCUCUUCCACCCAUCGUUUCAUGAAAUUUCAAGGCUUGAGCUUUCUCCACUUCCUCUGUCACUCAGUUUAAGACUAGGCAGGGCUGGGGCAGUGAGGAACAUUUCUGUGAACAGCUGAUGAAGGGCUUGUGUCUGCUUAUUUCUGAAAUGAACUAGUCUCAUGUAAGCAACAAGGUUUAACAUGAUUUUGUGUUUUUUUUGGUACCAGGGAUCAAACUCGGGACCUUGUGCUUGCAAGGCAGGUGGCAGCACC
Molecule: non-coding RNA, 1241 nt
Organism: Heterocephalus glaber (naked mole-rat)
Lineage: Eukaryota; Metazoa; Chordata; Mammalia; Rodentia; Bathyergidae
Source: RefSeq, a predicted model, not a curated record